RNAcentral lists this ribosomal RNA (301 nucleotides) under uncultured bacterium. RNAcentral describes it as "partial 16S ribosomal RNA". It matches the Rfam family "Bacterial small subunit ribosomal RNA", at positions 509 to 807 of the family's 1533-position model. The record is from RNAcentral.
CAGUCGCCGCGGGAAUACGUAGGGUGCGAGCGUUAAUCGGAAUUACUGGGCGUAAAGUGUGCGCAGGCGGUUUUGUAAGACAGGCGUGAAAUCCCCGGGCUCAACCUGGGAAUGGCGCUUGUGACUGCAAAGCUAGAGUGCGGCAGAGGGGGAUGGAAUUCCGCGUGUAGCAGUGAAAUGCGUAGAUAUGCGAAGGAACACCGAUGGCGAAGGCAAUCCCCUGGGCCUGCACUGACGCUCAUGCACGAAAGCGUGGGGAGCAAACAGGAUUAGAGACCCCUGUAGUCCCUGUCUCUUAUAC